UUGCCUCAGUAACGGCGAGUGAAGCGGCAAAAGCUCAAAUUUGAAAUCUGGCCCUUUCAGGGUCCGAGUUGUAAUUUGCAGAGGAUGCUUCGGGAGCGGCGGCGGUUUAAGUCCCCUGGAACGGGGCGUCGUAGAGGGUGACAAUCCCGUCUUGAAUCGCAUGUCCGUGACCGUGUGAAGCUCCUUCGACGAGUCGAGUUGUUUGGGAAUGCAGCUCAAAAAUGGGUGGUAAAUUUCAUCUAAAGCUAAAUACUGGCUGGAGACCGAUAGCGCACAAGUAGAGUGAUCGAAAGGUUAAAAGCACCUUGAAAAGGGAGUUAAAUAGCACGUGAAAUUGUUGAAAGGGAAGCGCUUGCAACCAGACUCGGCCGCAGAGGCUCAGUGGGCACGUGUGCCCAUGCACUCCUCUGUGGUCGGGCCAGCAUCAGUUCUGACGGCCGGUCAAAGGCCCCUGGAAUGUAUCCUCCUCCGGGAGGUCUUAUAGCCAGGGGUGCAAUGCGGCCAGUCGGGACUGAGGAACGCGCUUCGGCACGGAUGCUGGCGUAAUGGUUGUAAGCGACCCGUCUUGAAACACGGACCAAGGAGUCUAACAUCCACGCGAGUGUUAGGGUGUCAAACCCUUGCGCGCA
This 629-nucleotide ribosomal RNA is filed under the name Gymnascella dankaliensis. RNAcentral describes it as "LSU rRNA". It matches the Rfam family "Eukaryotic large subunit ribosomal RNA", at positions 75 to 718 of the family's 3401-position model. Lineage: Eukaryota; Fungi; Ascomycota; Eurotiomycetes; Onygenales; Gymnoascaceae. The record is from RNAcentral.